RNAcentral lists this ribosomal RNA (472 nucleotides) under uncultured bacterium. Its description in RNAcentral is "bacterial SSU rRNA". It matches the Rfam family "Bacterial small subunit ribosomal RNA", at positions 355 to 825 of the family's 1533-position model. The record is from RNAcentral.
UGGGGAAUAUUGGACAAUGGGCGAAAGCCUGAUCCAGCAAUGCCGCGUGCAGGAAGAAGGCCUUCGGGUUGUAAACUGCUUUUGUACGGAACGAAAAGGCUCUUUCUAAUAAAGAGGGCCCAUGACGGUACCGUAAGAAUAAGCACCGGCUAACUACGUGCCAGCAGCCGCGGUAAUACGUAGGGUGCGAGCGUUAAUCGGAAUUACUGGGCGUAAAGCGUGCGCAGGCGGUUCUAUAAGACAGAUGUGAAAUCCCCGGGCUCAACCUGGGAAUGGCAUUUGUGACUGUAGAGCUAGAGUACGGUAGAGGGGGAUGGAAUUCCGCGUGUAGCAGUGAAAUGCGUAGAUAUGCGGAGGAACACCGAUGGCGAAGGCAAUCCCCUGGACCUGUACUGACGCUCAUGCACGAAAGCGUGGGGAGCAAACAGGAUUAGAUACCCCGGUAGUCCCUGAGCGGGCUGGCAAGGCGCAU